UACAUAGGGUGCAAGCGUUGUCCGGAUUUAUUGGGCGUAAAGAGCUCGUAGGCGGCACGGUAAGUCAGAAGUUAAAACGCAGAGCUCAACUCUGCGUCGCUUUUGAUACUGCCGAGCUUGAGUAUGGCAGGGGAGAUUGGAAUUCCACGUGUAGCGGUGAAAUGCGUAGAGAUGCGGAGGAACACCGAUGGCGAAGGCAGCCCCCUGGGCUGACACUGACGCUGAGGCACGAAAGCGUGGGGAGCAAACAGG
RNAcentral lists this ribosomal RNA (252 nucleotides) under uncultured bacterium. RNAcentral describes it as "partial 16S ribosomal RNA". It matches the Rfam family "Bacterial small subunit ribosomal RNA", at positions 524 to 776 of the family's 1533-position model. The record is from RNAcentral.